CGGGGUGCACCAGGCGCGAAAACUUUACAAUGCUGGCAACAGCGAUAAGGGGACCUCGAGUGCCAGGAUACAAUCUUGGCUGUCGCGAUGCCUAAAAAGCAUUGCAUAGCAAGGGCCGGGCAAGACCGGUGCCAGCCGCCGCGGUAACACCGGCGGCUCGAGUGGUAACCGCUAUUAUUGGGUCUAAAGGGUCUGUAGCCGGCCGGAUAAGUCUUUUGGGAAAUCCAGCUGCUCAACAGUUGGGCUUUCAGAAGAUACUGUUCGGCUCGAGACCGGGAGAGGUGAGAGGUACUUCAGGGGUAGGGGUGAAAUCUUGUAAUCCUUGAAGGACCACCAGUGGCGAAGGCGUCUCACCAGAACGGAUCCGACAGCAAGGGACGAAAGCUAGGGGCACGAACCGGAUUAGAUACCCGGGUAGUCCUAGCCGUAAACGAUACUCGCUAGGUGUCAGCCACGGUGCGACCGUGGUUGGUGCCGUAGGGAAGCCGUGAAGCGAGCCACCUGGGAAGUACGGCCGCAAGGCUGAAACUUAAAGGAAUUGGCGGGGGAGCAC
This 553-nucleotide ribosomal RNA is filed under the name uncultured archaeon. RNAcentral describes it as "bacterial SSU rRNA". It matches the Rfam family "Archaeal small subunit ribosomal RNA", at positions 326 to 879 of the family's 1478-position model. The record is from RNAcentral.